RNAcentral lists this ribosomal RNA (347 nucleotides) under uncultured bacterium. Its description in RNAcentral is "partial 16S ribosomal RNA". It matches the Rfam family "Bacterial small subunit ribosomal RNA", at positions 338 to 696 of the family's 1533-position model. The record is from RNAcentral.
CCUACGGGAGGCUGCAGUCGAGAAUCAUUCACAAUGGGGGAAACCCUGAUGGUGCGACGCCGCGUGGGGGAAUGAAGGUCUUCGGAUUGUAAACCCCAGUCAUGUGGGAGCAAAUUAAAAAGAUAGUACCACAAGAGGAAGAGACGGCUAACUCUGUGCCAGCAGCCGCGGUAAUAGAGAGGUCUCAAGCGUUGUUCGGAAGCACUGGGCGUAAAGCGUGCGUAGGCGGUUGCGUAAGUCGUGUGUGAAAGGCGCGGGCUCAACCCGCGGACGGCACAUGAUACUGCGAGACUAGAGUAAAGGAGGGGGAAGCGGAAGUCUCGGUGUAGCAGUGAAAUGCGUAGAUA